GGAGUUAUGAAAUGUAGGAAUGUUAAUAGCAUUUCUAUUUGACUAAGGCUCCAGAGGAAGCCACGGCUAACUCUGUGCCAGCAGCCGCGGUAGUACAGAGGUGGCAAGCGUUGUUCGGAAUUAUUGGGCGUAAAGAGCACGUAGGCGGCCCUGCCGGUCAGUUGUGAAAGCCUUCCGCUCAUCGGAAGAACGGCAGCUGAUACUACAGGGCUAGAGUACGGGAGGGGAGAGUG
This 233-nucleotide ribosomal RNA is filed under the name uncultured Planctomycetales bacterium. RNAcentral's name for it is "partial 16S ribosomal RNA". It matches the Rfam family "Bacterial small subunit ribosomal RNA", at positions 439 to 663 of the family's 1533-position model. The record is from RNAcentral. Lineage: Bacteria; Pseudomonadati; Planctomycetota; Planctomycetia; Planctomycetales.